CACAUGCAGUCGAACGGCACCUAUCUUCGGAUAGAAGCGAGUGGCGAACGGCUGAGUAACACGUGGAGAACCUGCCCCCUCCCCCGGGAUAGCCGCCCGAAAGGACGGGUAAUACCGGAUACCCCGGGGUGCCGCAUGGCACCCCGGCUAAAGCCCCGACGGGAGGGGAUGGCUCCGCGGCCCAUCAGGUAGACGGCGGGGUGACGGCCCACCGUGCCGACAACGGGUAGCCGGGUUGAGAGACCGACCGGCCAGAUUGGGACUGAGACACGGCCCAGACUCCUACGGGAGGCAGCAGUGGGGAAUCUUGCGCAAUGGGGGGAACCCUGACGCAGCGACGCCGCGUGCGGGACGGAGGCCUUCGGGUCGUAAACCGCUUUCAGCAGGGAAGAGUCAAGACUGUACCUGCAGAAGAAGCCCCGGCUAACUACGUGCCAGCAGCCGCGGUAAUACGUAGGGGGCGAGCGUUAUCCGGAUUCAUUGGGCGUAAAGCGCGCGUAGGCGGCCCGGCAGGCCGGGGGUCGAAGCGGGGGGCUCAACCCCCCGAAGCCCCCGGAACCUCCGCGGCUUGGGUCCGGUAGGGGAGGGUGGAACACCCGGUGUAGCGGUGGAAUGCGCAGAUAUCGGGUGGAACACCGGUGGCGAAGGCGGCCCUCUGGGCCGAGACCGACGCUGAGGCGCGAAAGCUGGGGGAGCGAACAGGAUUAGAUACCCUGGUAGUCCCAGCCGUAAACGAUGGACGCUAGGUGUGGGGGGGACGAUCCCCCCGUGCCGCAGCCAACGCAUUAAGCGUCCCGCCUGGGGGAGUACGGCCGCAAGGCUAAAACUCAAAGGAAUUGACGGGGGCCCGCACAAG
Molecule: ribosomal RNA, 856 nt
Filed under: uncultured bacterium
Lineage: Bacteria
Description: partial 16S ribosomal RNA
Rfam family: Bacterial small subunit ribosomal RNA
Source: RNAcentral